RNAcentral lists this ribosomal RNA (253 nucleotides) under uncultured bacterium. RNAcentral describes it as "partial 16S ribosomal RNA". It matches the Rfam family "Bacterial small subunit ribosomal RNA", at positions 524 to 776 of the family's 1533-position model. The record is from RNAcentral.
UACGGGGGGGGCAAGCGUUGUUCGGAAUCACUGGGCGUAAAGGGAGCGUAGGCGGGCUCUUAAGUUAGGUGUUUAAUCCCGGGGCCCAACCCCGGACAGGCACCUAAAACUGGGAGUCUUGAAUAGUGGAGAGGUCAGUGGAAUUGGGGGUGUAGCGGUGGAAUGCGUAGAGAUCCCCAAGAACACCAGUUGCGAAGGCGGCUGACUGGACACAUAUUGACGCUGAGGCUCGAAAGCAUGGGGAGCAAACAGG